Molecule: ribosomal RNA, 400 nt
Filed under: phytoplankton environmental sample
Lineage: Eukaryota
Description: partial small subunit ribosomal RNA
Rfam family: Eukaryotic small subunit ribosomal RNA
Source: RNAcentral
AGCUCCAAUAGCGUAUAUUAAAGUUGUUGCGGUUAAAAAGCUCGUAGUUGGAUUUCUGCUGAGGAUACCUGGUCCGCCCUCUGGGUGUGUAUCUUGUGUAGCCUUGGCAUCUUCCUGAAGAACGUAGCUGCACUUGACUGUGUGGUGCGGUAUUCAGGACAUUUACUUUGAGGAAAUUAGAGUGUUUCAAGCAAGCGCACGCCUUGAAUACAUUAGCAUGGAAUAAUAAGAUAGGACCUCGGUUCUAUUUUGUUGGUUUCUAGAGCUGAGGUAAUGAUUGAUAGGGAUAGUUGGGGGCAUUCGUAUUUAACUGUCAGAGGUGAAAUUCUCGGAUUUGUUAAAGACGGACUACUGCGAAAGCAUUUGCCAAGGAUGUUUUCAUUGAUCAAGAACGAAAGUA